GGGACACGUGGUAUCCUGUCUGAAUAUGGGGGGACCAUCCUCCAAGGCUAAAUACUCCUGACUGACCGAUAGUGAACCAGUACCGUGAGGGAAAGGCGAAAAGAACCCCGGCGAGGGGAGUGAAAAAGAACCUGAAACCGUGUACGUACAAGCAGUGGGAGCACGCUUAGGCGUGUGACUGCGUACCUUUUGUAUAAUGGGUCAGCGACUUAUAUUCUGUAGCAAGGUUAACCGAAUAGGGGAGCCGAAGGGAAACCGAGUCUUAACUGGGCGUUAAGUUGCAGGGUAUAGACCCGAAACCCGGUGAUCUAGCCAUGGGCAGGUUGAAGGUUGGGUAACACUAACUGGAGGACCGAACCGACUAAUGUUGAAAAAUUAGCGGAUGACUUGUGGCUGGGGGUGAAAGGCCAAUCAAACCGGGAGAUAGCUGGUUCUCCCCGAAAGCUAUUUAGGUAGCGCCUCGUGAAUUCAUCUCCGGGGGUAGAGCACUGUUUCGGCAAGGGGGUCAUCCCGACUUACCAACCCGAUGCAAACUGCGAAUACCGGAGAAUGUUAUCACGGGAGACACACGGCGGGUGCUAACGUCCGUCGUGAAGAGGGAAACAACCCAGACCGCCAGCUAAGGUCCCAAAGUCAUGGUUAAGUGGGAAACGAUGUGGGAAGGCCCAGACAGCCAGGAUGUUGGCUUAGAAGCAGCCAUCAUUUAAAGAAAGCGUAAUAGCUCACUGGUCGAGUCGGCCUGCGCGGAAGAUGUAACGGGGCUAAACCAUGCACCGAAGCUGCGGCAGCGACGCUUAUGCGUUGUUGGGUAGGGGAGCGUUCUGUAAGCCUGUGA
This 835-nucleotide ribosomal RNA is filed under the name Escherichia coli. RNAcentral describes it as "partial 23S ribosomal RNA". It matches the Rfam family "Bacterial large subunit ribosomal RNA", at positions 419 to 1253 of the family's 2925-position model. The record is from RNAcentral. Lineage: Bacteria; Pseudomonadati; Pseudomonadota; Gammaproteobacteria; Enterobacterales; Enterobacteriaceae.